GGCGACCGUGGCCUACGCAAGGGGGUGCCGGAGGCGGUCGUGGCUAUCCCAUCCCACCUUCUCCGCCGCCGUGUCUGCGCCUUUGAAGCCUUGAAAAAAUUCGAAGUUCGGAAAAGGGCUGUCUUAAAGAUGUCAGGAAAAAAGGAAGAACCAGACACCCUGCCACCCUUAAGAUGUGAACUUGUUCGGAAAAUGUAUUCCCCCAUCGCUACCUCCUCACCCUCUGUGGGAAUGGUGUGA
Molecule: long non-coding RNA, 240 nt
Filed under: Sus scrofa (pig)
Lineage: Eukaryota; Metazoa; Chordata; Mammalia; Artiodactyla; Suidae
Description: lncRNA (ENSSSCG00070011597.1)
Source: RNAcentral